UACGGAGGGUGCAAGCGUUAUCCGGAUUCACUGGGUUUAAAGGGUCCGUAGGUGGCCAACUAAGUCAGACGUGAAAUCCCUCAGCUUAACUGGGGAACUGCGUCUGAGACUGGAUGGCUUGAGUGCAGGAGAGGAAUGCGGAAUUCCAGGUGUAGCGGUGAAAUGCGUAGAUAUCUGGAGGAACACCGGUGGCGAAGGCGGCAUUCUGGACUGCAACUGACACUGAACGACGAAAGCCAGGGGAGCAAACGGG
This 253-nucleotide ribosomal RNA is filed under the name uncultured bacterium. RNAcentral's name for it is "partial 16S ribosomal RNA". It matches the Rfam family "Bacterial small subunit ribosomal RNA", at positions 524 to 776 of the family's 1533-position model. The record is from RNAcentral.